RNAcentral lists this ribosomal RNA (520 nucleotides) under uncultured Glomus. Its description in RNAcentral is "SSU rRNA". It matches the Rfam family "Eukaryotic small subunit ribosomal RNA", at positions 569 to 1092 of the family's 1831-position model. Lineage: Eukaryota; Fungi; Glomeromycota; Glomeromycetes; Glomerales; Glomeraceae. The record is from RNAcentral.
AGCAGCCGCGGUAAUUCCAGCUCCAAUAGCGUAUAUUAAAGUUGUUGCAGUUAAAAAGCUCGUAGUUGAAUUUCGAGAUCAAAUUGUUGGUCGUGCCUCGGUACGUACUGGCAUUAUUGAUUUCUCCCUUCUGAAGAACCUUGAUGUCAUUAAUUUGGUGUCUUGGGGAAUCAGGACCGUUACUUUGAAAAAAUUAGAGUGUUUAAAGCAGGCUCACGCUUGAAUACAUUAGCAUGGAAUAAUGAAAUAGGACGUUUGAUUCUAUUUUGUUGGUUUCUAGGAUCGACGUAAUGAUUAAUAGGGAUAGUUGGGGGCAUUAGUAUUCAAUUGUCAGAGGUGAAAUUCUUGGAUUUAUUGAAGACUAACUACUGCGAAAGCAUUUGCCAAGGAUGUUUUCAUUAAUCAAGAACGAAAGUUAGGGGAUCGAAGACGAUCAGAUACCGUCGUAGUCUUAACCAUAAACUAUGCCGACUAGGGAUCGGAUGAUGUUAAUUUUUAAUGACUCAUUCGGCGCCUUACG